This 290-nucleotide long non-coding RNA is filed under the name Brassica napus (rape). RNAcentral describes it as "long non-coding RNA (BNAP_LNC003993)". Lineage: Eukaryota; Viridiplantae; Streptophyta; Magnoliopsida; Brassicales; Brassicaceae. The record is from RNAcentral.
GCGACUUAAAUACUCAGAGGUGAGCUAAAGCUUAGUAGCUUGGAAGUUCUGGAUCUCUCCACGAACUCUCUAUAUGCCAUAUUGUGCUAAGGUCAUCGGCUGGGUUCUCUCUCAUGUAAAAUGUUUAGUCAUAGAGUUUAUAACGUUCUAGGUUUGUGAUCUAACGUUGCAUGAUUGAAGAUAAACAAUUAAAACUACAUUUUUAAUUCCGCUCCUAAUUUCUUUGAGGUAAAUCUAUCUGUUUCUUGACAUUAAAAAAAAAUCCAUCACCAUCCUUAUUCACCUCACUC